AAUAUUGCGCAAUGGUCGAAAGACUGACGCAGCGACGCCGCGUGGGGGAGGAAGGCCCUAGGGUUGUAAACCCCUGUCAGGUGGGACGAACACCUUGUCGGAUAAUACUCGGCAGGACUGACGGUACCACCAGAGGAAGCUCCGGCUAACUCCGUGCCAGCAGCCGCGGUAAUACGGAGGGAGCGAGCGUUGUUCGGAAUUACUGGGCGUAAAGGGCGCGUAGGCGGCCUCGUAAGUCGGGUUGAAAUGUGUGAAAUGCCGGGGCUCAACCCCGUGCACUGCACCCGAUACUGCAUGGCUAGAGAAAGGUAGAGGCGAGCGGAAUUCCCGGUGUAGCGGUGGAAUGCGUAGAUAUCGGGAAGAACAUCUGCGGCGAAGGCGGCUCGCUGGGCCUUUUCUGACGCUGAAGCGCGAAAGCGUGGGGAGCAAACAGGAUUAGAUACCCUGGUAGUCCACGCCGUAAACGCUGGGCACUAGGUGUCGGGAGGCUUGGCCCUUUCGGUGCCGCAGCUAACGCAUUAAGUGCCCCGCCUGGGAAUUACGGCCGCAAGGCUGAAACUCAAAGGAAUUGACGG
RNAcentral lists this ribosomal RNA (575 nucleotides) under uncultured bacterium. RNAcentral describes it as "bacterial SSU rRNA". It matches the Rfam family "Bacterial small subunit ribosomal RNA", at positions 360 to 916 of the family's 1533-position model. The record is from RNAcentral.